Molecule: long non-coding RNA, 586 nt
Organism: Wyeomyia smithii (pitcher-plant mosquito)
Lineage: Eukaryota; Metazoa; Arthropoda; Insecta; Diptera; Culicidae
Exons: 3
Source: RefSeq, a predicted model, not a curated record
AUCGAUGCAGUUUUUACUAGAUCUACGAUAAGUGCGCACUUGAUCAAGAAUUUCAUAUCAUUUUUGCGACAUUUUGUCGAUCAAAUAUUUGGCCAAAUGAUCUCUCAAAUGUUAAUUCUUGUGGUAGUUCCAUUUCUGUAGAUUCAGUUAAAAGUUCAUCGAGUGUGGACAGGAUGGUUUUGAAGAAGGUACGGUUGAAACAUUGGCAGCAAGCAUCGCUACCCUACAAUCGUCGCGAGUGUUGCGAAAAAGGACAUCAAAUUUCCGUUUCUCAUCCCAAGGACAUGAUAAGCUGCGAAAGAUCCGGACCAUGUCUAAGUAGUAGUCCUGGAAUUUUUCUCUGACACCCUGCUUCCGGUUAUUCGCACGCUGUUCGUAGAAGUAAUCGAUAUCCACCGGUGGUUACGCAAUACUCUUUCUAGUUGACUACGCGACGAGACUACAUUUAGUCCGCGAAUACGUAACUCGUAUUCCAACUCAUCCACCAUUAGAUGAGAAGGAUCCAUCGACUGAUAUUGCGCUAACAACAAAGGCAUCUCCAUUGCGAUGAUUUAGGUUUGAUCUCGGAAGGUAAAAUUUAUCAAAA